CCCUUUGAUACUCUGGGCGGCACGCGCGCUACAAUGGAUAAUACAACGUGUUACUUAACCGAAAGGUUAUGUAAAUCACAAAUGUUACGUCUUGAAUGGGAUAGUUUAUUGCAACUACAGACUUGAACUAGGAAUCCCUUGUAGGUACACUGAAGCAUAGUGUACCGAAUACGUCCCUGCCGUUUGUACACACCGCCCGUCGUUUCUUCCGACUGAUACUCAUUGUGAAUUACGAGGAUGCGUUAGCAAAAUCGUUGUAAAUGCUGGGUAUUGGAGGAAGAAAAAGUCGUANCA
Molecule: ribosomal RNA, 294 nt
Filed under: uncultured eukaryote
Lineage: Eukaryota
Description: partial 18S ribosomal RNA
Rfam family: Eukaryotic small subunit ribosomal RNA
Source: RNAcentral